Molecule: non-coding RNA, 88 nt
Filed under: Pedobacter kyungheensis
Lineage: Bacteria; Pseudomonadati; Bacteroidota; Sphingobacteriia; Sphingobacteriales; Sphingobacteriaceae
Description: TPP sequence
Rfam family: TPP riboswitch aptamer (THI element)
About the family: Vitamin B(1) in its active form thiamin pyrophosphate (TPP) is an essential coenzyme that is synthesised by coupling of pyrimidine and thiazole moieties in bacteria. The previously detected thiamin-regulatory element, thi box was extended, resulting in a new, highly conserved RNA secondary structure, the THI element, which is widely distributed in eubacteria and also occurs in some archaea. Analysis of operon structures identified a large number of new candidate thiamin-regulated genes, mostly transporters, in various prokaryotic organisms.
Source: RNAcentral
AAAAAACUUUAGGGGUGCCUAGUGCUGAGAAAUACCCUUUGAACCUGAUGCAGUUAGUACUGCCGAAGGGAAAAGUGAGCGCAACGUU